Molecule: long non-coding RNA, 1040 nt
Filed under: Sus scrofa (pig)
Lineage: Eukaryota; Metazoa; Chordata; Mammalia; Artiodactyla; Suidae
Description: lncRNA (ENSSSCG00000059465.1)
Source: RNAcentral
AAUCGUGUGGACAUCACUGGGAAUGGAGGGAAAUAACUGACUGUAUGAUCGUUGCUUUUUAAGUUUCAAACUGACAUUCCAGGCGGGCUGUUGCUUGAGUGAGCAUCUGUCUUCAGAAUUUCACAGUGGGUUCCUGGGAAGGUGGAAGCCUCUCCCUGAUGGGUGAAGUGAGGAGCAGGAGGGGACCGACACGACAGAGGUGUGCAGCCUCCAGCAUCUCCUCCUUUGUGAACUGGAUCCUCCCCAAGGAGACUACGAGAUGAAAACUUCGGAGCCCGGGAGUGAGUGGCCAGCAGGUUGCAGACGUCAGGUGAUGGCCACCAGCCAGCAUGGAACACGCCCCCACAAGACACACAGCAGAGGUGCCACCUGGACCUCCCACCCUGUCAUCUCAAUGCCUUGGACCCCUGGCCAGGAUAUGUGGGGAUGGCACCCACCUGGGCACCCAGCUACUCAUCUGCUGUCUCACCAAUGAGGAGAAUGAAGAACACAGGCGGCAUGAUUGUCCACAUGGAAAAAUAAGUUUUCCUCCUCUCACUGGCCAUCUGGAGCAGGCAACUCUAUAUGAUGGAUCUGUGAAGUGUUCCUUGAAUAUCUCUGCCCAGAGUGCAACAAUGAGGCCGCUAAUUGAACAAUUCCAACAACCCCGUGGCAUCGUGUAAGUAGGCUGUCCAUGUGUAGGGGUGGGUGCUCUGUGGAAAAGCUUCCUUUGUGAAGGAGGGUGGAUUGGGCUUAAGAUUCUACCAAUUCUAAGAGUCUGUGAUUUGCUUCUUUUUUUACAGCCUGGCUAUAUUUAGAUUAAUGAAUUAUAUUCAAGAUGGACUCACCAAUUAUUUCUUAAAUGAGUUAUUUCAUUCAAAAGUUAUUGAGAGAGGAGUUCCCAUUGUGGCUCAGUGAAUUAAGGACCCAACAUUGUCUCUGUGAGGGAUUGAUCCAUGGCCUUGCUCAGUGGGUUAAGGAUCUGGUGUUGCUGCAAGCUGUGGUGCAGGCAUAUAGCUGCAGCUGUAUUUCAACCCCUAGCCCAGGAACUUCCAUAUGAG